RNAcentral lists this ribosomal RNA (465 nucleotides) under uncultured bacterium. Its description in RNAcentral is "partial 16S ribosomal RNA". It matches the Rfam family "Bacterial small subunit ribosomal RNA", at positions 28 to 507 of the family's 1533-position model. The record is from RNAcentral.
GACGAACGCUGGCGGCGUGCUUAACACAUGCAAGUCGUACGGUAAGGCCCUUUCGGGGGUACACGAGUGGCGAACGGGUGAGUAACACGUGAGUAACCUGCCCACAACUUUGGGAUAACGCUAGGAAACUGGUGCUAAUACUGGAUAUGUGCUCCUGCUGCAUGGUGGGGGUUGGAAAGCUCCGGCGGUUGUGGAUGGACUCGCGGCCUAUCAGCUUGUUGGUGGGGUAGUGGCCUACCAAGGCGGCGACGGGUAGCCGGCCUGAGAGGGUGACCGGCCACAUUGGGUCUGAGAUACGGCACAGACUCCUACGGGAGGCAGAAGUGGGGAAUAUUGCACAAUGGGCGCAAGCCUGAUGCAGCAACGCCGCGUGCGGGAUGACGGUCUUCGGGUUGUAAACCGCUUUCAGCAGGGACGAAGCUUUUUGUGACGGUACCUGCAGAAGAAGCACCGGCUAACUACGUG